Molecule: ribosomal RNA, 480 nt
Filed under: uncultured bacterium
Lineage: Bacteria
Description: partial 16S ribosomal RNA
Rfam family: Bacterial small subunit ribosomal RNA
Source: RNAcentral
GACGAACGCUGGCGGCGUGCCUAACACAUGCAAGUCGAGCGAGUGAAUCUCCUUCGGGAGUGAAGCUAGCGGCGGACGGGUGAGUAACACGUGGGCAACCUGCCUCAUAGAGGGGAAUAGCCUUUCGAAAGGAAGAUUAAUACCGCAUAAGAUUGUAGCUUCGCAUGAAGUAGCAAUUAAAGGAGCAAUCCGCUAUGAGAUGGGCCCGCGGCGCAUUAGCUAGUUGGGGGGGUAACGGCUCACAACGGCGACGAUGCGUAGCCGACCUGAGAGGGUGAUCGGCCACAUUGGGACUGAGACACGGCCCAGACUCCUACGGGAGGCAGCAGUGGGGAAUAUUGCACAAUGGGGGAAACCCUGAUGCAGCAACGCCGCGUGAGUGAUGACGGCCUUCGGGUUGUAAAGCUCUGUCUUCAGGGACGAUAAUGACGGUACCUGAGGAGGAAGCCACGGCUAACUACGUGCCAGCCGCCGCGGUAA